GCAGUCGAACGCAGUAGCAAUACUGAGUGGCAAACGGGUGAGUAUAAUGUGGGAAUCUGCCUUUUGGUUUGGAAUAACACGGGGAAACUUGUGCUAAUACCGAAUAAGCCCUUACGGGGAAAGUUUUAAUGCCGAAAGAUGAGCCCGCACUUGAUUAGCUAGUUGGUAAGGUAAAAGCUUACCAAGGCAACGAUCAAUAGCUGUUCUUAGAGGAAGACCAGCCACAUUGGGACUGAGACACGGCCCAGACUCCUACGGGAGGCAGCAGUGGGGAAUCUUGCACAAUGGGGGAAACCCUGAUGCAGCGAUGCCGCGUGAGUGAAGAAGGCCCUUGGGUUGUAGAACUCUUUCGUCGGGGAAGAAAAUGACUGUACCCGAAUAAGAAGGUCCGGCUAACUUCGUGCCAGCAGCCGCGGUAAUACGAAGGGACCUAGCGUAGUUCGGAAUUACUGGGCUUAAAGAGCUCGUAGGUGGUUAAAAAAGUUGAUGGUGAAAUCCCAAGGCUUAACCUUGGAACUGCCAUCAAAACUUUUUAGCUAGAGUGUGAUAGAGGUAAGUGGAAUUUCUAGUGUAGAGGUGAAAUUCGUAGAUAUUAGAAAGAACACCAAAUGCGAAGGCAACUUACUGGGUCACUACUGACACUGAGGAGCGAAAGCAUGGGUAGCGAANANGANUAGAUACCCUCGUAGUCCAUGCCGUAAACGAUGANUGCUAGACGUUGGAAAUAUAUUUUUCNGUGUCGCAGCGAAAGCAUUAANCACUCCGCCNGGGGAGUACNACCGCANGGUUAAAACUCAAAUGAA
Molecule: ribosomal RNA, 803 nt
Filed under: uncultured bacterium
Lineage: Bacteria
Description: bacterial SSU rRNA
Rfam family: Bacterial small subunit ribosomal RNA
Source: RNAcentral